UUUAAAGUCUAACCUGCCCAAUGAGGAGUUGAAUGGCCGCGGUAUUUUGACCGUGCAAAGGUAGCAUAAUCAUUAGUUUUUUAAUUGAAAGCUGGAAUGAACGGUUGGACGAGAAAAUAACUGUCUCAAUAUAAUUUUAAUUAGAAUUUUAUUUUUAAGUAAGAAAGCUUAAAUAAUUUUAAAAGACGAGAAGACCCUAUAGAGUUUUAUAGUUUUAGCUGUAUAAAAUUUAUAGAAUUUUUAUAUUUUUUAUAGUUAAAUUUAUUUUAUUGGGGCGAUAGAAAAAUUGAUUAAACUUUUUUUAGAAAUUAAGCAUUGAUUUAUGUUUAAAUGAUCCAUUAUUAAUGAUUAUAAGAUUAAAUUACCUUAGGGAUAACAGCGUAAUUUUUUUUGAGAGUUCUUAUCGAAAAAAGAGUUUGCGACCUCGAUGUUGGAUUAAAAU
RNAcentral lists this ribosomal RNA (442 nucleotides) under Stripsipher sp. BMNH 793043. RNAcentral describes it as "partial 16S ribosomal RNA". It matches the Rfam family "Bacterial large subunit ribosomal RNA", at positions 1844 to 2543 of the family's 2925-position model. The record is from RNAcentral. Lineage: Eukaryota; Metazoa; Arthropoda; Insecta; Coleoptera; Scarabaeidae.